RNAcentral lists this unclassified non-coding RNA (558 nucleotides) under Cenococcum geophilum. RNAcentral describes it as "partial contains ITS1, 5.8S rRNA and ITS2". The stretch from base 209 to 362 matches the Rfam family "5.8S ribosomal RNA". The record is from RNAcentral. Lineage: Eukaryota; Fungi; Ascomycota; Dothideomycetes; Gloniales; Gloniaceae.
CUUGGUCAUUUAGAGGAAGUAAAAGUCGUAACAAGGUUUCCGUAGGUGAACCUGCGGAAGGAUCAUUACAGAAAGUAAACGCGGGUCAAACCGUGAACUUUUAAACCUUUGACGAUUGACUCAUGUUGCCUCGGCGGGCUCGCCCGCCAGAGGAUACAUCAAAACUCCUGUUUUAACGGCGUUGUCUGAGCUACAAGCAACGAAUCAAAACUUUCAACAACGGAUCUCUUGGUUCUGGCAUCGAUGAAGAACGCAGCGAAAUGCGAUAAGUAGUGUGAAUUGCAGAAUUCAGUGAAUCAUCGAAUCUUUGAACGCACAUUGCGCCCCUUGGUAUCCCGAGGGGCAUGCCUGUUCGAGCGUCAUUACACCACUCAAGCCUGGCUUGGUGUUGGGCGACGUCCCCUUUGGGGACGCGCCUUGAAAUGCUCGGCGGCGUGGCACCGGCUUUAAGCGUAGCAGAAUCUUUCGCUUCGAAAGUCGGGGCCCCGCCUGCCGGAAGACCUACUCGCAAGGUUGACCUCGGAUCAGGCAGGGAUACCCGCUGAACUUAAGCAUAUC